Molecule: ribosomal RNA, 465 nt
Filed under: uncultured bacterium
Lineage: Bacteria
Description: partial 16S ribosomal RNA
Rfam family: Bacterial small subunit ribosomal RNA
Source: RNAcentral
GACGAACGCUGGCGGCGUGCUUAACACAUGCAAGUCGAACGGAAAGGCCCCUUUGGGGGUACUCGAGUGGCGAACGGGUGCGUAACACGUGAGUAACCUGCCCUUGACUUCGGGAUAACUUCAGGAAACUGGGGCUAAUACCGGAUAGGAAUCCUUGCUGCAUGGUGGGGGUUGGAAAGCUUCGGCGGUUUUGGAUGGACUCGCGGCUUAUCAGCUUGUUGGUGGGGUAGUGGCUUACCAAGGCUUUGACGGGUAGCCGGCCUGAGAGGGCGACCGGCCACAUUGGGACUGAGAUACGGCCCAGACUCCUACGGGAGGCAGCAGUGGGGAAUAUUGCACAAUGGGCGGAAGCCUGAUGCAGCAACGCCGCGUGCGGGAUGACGGCCUUCGGGUUGUAAACCGCUUUCAGCAGGGGCGAAGCUUGCGGUGACGGUACCUGCAGAAGAAGCACCGGCUAACUACGUG